RNAcentral lists this ribosomal RNA (595 nucleotides) under uncultured bacterium. Its description in RNAcentral is "bacterial SSU rRNA". It matches the Rfam family "Bacterial small subunit ribosomal RNA", at positions 338 to 961 of the family's 1533-position model. The record is from RNAcentral.
CCUACGGGAGGCAGCAGUGGGGAAUAUUGGACAAUGGGCGAAAGCCUGAUCCAGCAAUGCCGCGUGAGUGAUGAAGGCCUUAGGGUUGUAAAGCUCUUUUACCAGGGAUGAUAAUGACAGUACCUGGAGAAUAAGCUCCGGCUAACUCCGUGCCAGCAGCCGCGGUAAUACGGAGGGAGCUAGCGUUAUUCGGAAUUACUGGGCGUAAAGCGUACGUAGGCGGUUAUUCAAGUCAGAGGUGAAAGCCCGGGGCUCAACCCCGGAACUGCCUUUGAAACUAGAUAACUAGAGUCUUGGAGAGGUUAGUGGAAUUCCGAGUGUAGAGGUGAAAUUCGUAGAUAUUCGGAAGAACACCAGUGGCGAAGGCGACUAACUGGACAAGUACUGACGCUGAGGUACGAAAGCGUGGGGAGCAAACAGGAUUAGAUACCCUGGUAGUCCACGCCGUAAACGAUGAUAACUAGCUGUCCGGGCACUUGGUGCCUGGGUGGCGCAGCUACGCAUAGUUAUCGCCGUGGGUGGUACGGUCGCAGAUUAAACUACAAUAGAAUAGACGGCGUGAGACGUGCCGACGGACGACGACGAGGGAGGUAGG